GCUGCCAUGUUACUACCUUGAUGAUAAUGGACUGAAGCUCUGAACCUGGUUCAAACUCAGCUCUGCCACCCGAAGCAUGGGAGUGAACUCACGCUCUUUGUAAGUGGAAACUCCGGGAGAAGAACUCCAGCUGCCUGUGUCUUCUAUUCUGCAGGCCUGGCUGACUGCCUGCAGACAUGUCACAGAGAGGUCAAUCAAUGUACAAGGCCUACCAUGAGACCCUUUGCUGAGACUCAAAGCCUGCGUGGAAUGCCUCUGCCUCAGGCACAUAAAGGUUCACUCCUGAGGAGAGACUGCAACUUGUAGUCCCUCAGUGGUGCACCACAAAAGCCCCCUCUACACUACAAAGGCCACAAAGCAGUGGCAGGCCCCUCCUUCCCACCCCAGCCUACAGCCAGGUGAGAUGCCCCUGCUGGAGCUGUCAAAAGUGGUGAUGUCUGUCAAAAUGGCCGCACUGCAACAUCUCAGCCUGCAACUGUUCUAGGAGCUGUCCAAGGUGGUGCAUCUCCUUUCCCACAUCAGCUCAUAAAAACACCAAGGCAAGACCAGUCCCACAAGUGCUGUCCACAGUGGCAGUACCACCCCUCCAGCCACCCUCCCACCCCGCAGCCCCACAGAGAUGAUGCCUCAUCAAAAGUCAGCUGUAGCAGGGCAGUGGUAGUGCAUGCCUUUAAUCCUAGCACUUGGGAGGCAGAGGCAGGUGGAUUUCUGAGUUCGAGGCCAGCCUGGUCUACAGAGUGAGUUCCAGGACAGCCAGGGCUAUACCCUGUCUCGGGGAGAGGGUGGGGAAGUUGGCUGUAGCUGGGAAGGACUUCCCACCCUAAACCAAGGGCCUGAUACAGGAAAAAGGAGGUGAAAAAAAGCCACCAAUCCCUAAGCAGGAAAACUCACCAAUCCCUAAGCUACACACACACACACACACACACACACACACACACACACACACACACAAUCCUUGAGCACAAAAACCCACCAAUCCCUGAGCCCCUUCCAAGCUCAGGACAUGAAAUCCCACCAAUCCUCACUUUGGAAAUCUCUGCCCUGAGAAGCUCCGGCUCCUCUGAAAUCCUAUAUAAGCACUGCCCCUUUGUCCAAUACCCUGGGAGCAGAGGACAGCCAUCCCUGGAUUUGUCCCUCCACACCCUGGUCCCUCUAAUACAUCUCUUUCAUGA
This is a long non-coding RNA of Mastomys coucha (southern multimammate mouse), 1172 nucleotides long. RefSeq lists it as uncharacterized. The record is from RefSeq and is a predicted model, not a curated record. The transcript is spliced from 3 exons. NCBI's taxonomy places the organism in Eukaryota, Metazoa, Chordata, Mammalia, Rodentia, Muridae.